AAAGAAAAUAACAAUGAUUCCCCUAGUAACGGCGAGCGAAGAGGGAAUAGCUCAAAUUUUAAAUCUGUUGGGUCUUACCUAACCGAGUUGUAAUUUGAAGAAACGUUUUCUGCGUGUUUGAUUUAGCCCAAAUCCUUUGGGAUAAGGUAUCAUGGAGGGUGAGAAUCCCGUCCGGCCUAAUCAAAUGUGCUUUACGAUACGUUUUCUAAGAGUCGAGUUGUUUGGGAUUGCAGCUCAAAAUGGGAGGUAAAUUUCUCCUAAGGCUAAAUAUAGGCGAGAGACCGAUAGCGAACAAGUACCGUGAGGGAAAGAUGAAAAGAACUUUGAAAAGAGAGUUAAACAGUACGUGAAAUUGUUGAAAGGGAAACGAUUAAAGUCAGUCGUACUAACGGGGAAUCAACCUUUUGAGGGUGGAAUUGUGGGAUUCAGAGUGCCUUUGUCUUUCACAACCUGCUUUUUUUGGGUGCACUUUCUCGUAUUGUAGGUCAGCAUCGGUUUCGACCGUUAUAAAAUGACUGGAGGAAUGUAGCUUCGAUCUCGUAUUGAAGUGUUAUAGCCUUUGGUAGAUGUAACGGAUGGGAUCGAGGAUUGCAAUGAAUACCCUCAUGGGCUAUCCGCCUGGCCUCUGACAUGUCACUCUGGUGCCGAAAGCUUGCUUAUGGUAUUAUAGUGUACGGUCAAAAGGUUAGAACGGAUUAAAUU
Molecule: ribosomal RNA, 702 nt
Filed under: uncultured Glomeromycotina
Lineage: Eukaryota; Fungi; Glomeromycota
Description: eukaryotic LSU rRNA
Rfam family: Eukaryotic large subunit ribosomal RNA
Source: RNAcentral